UUGCAGUAUCGAGAACAAGAUCUUCCGCCAUUGAAAGUGAAAACCCUAAAUCUGAGUAUGGAAGAUCGGGAAGAGGGGAGAAGAUCGAUGAUGAUGUUACACAGCCGGAUAGUUAAACAAACAGUUUCACUUCACGGUGUACUUUUGACUAAAAACCUCUUUCCAUUAUAUGUGUUUUAUUUUUUUGAUAAAAGUAUUUGAAUUUAAU
Molecule: long non-coding RNA, 208 nt
Filed under: Trifolium pratense (red clover)
Lineage: Eukaryota; Viridiplantae; Streptophyta; Magnoliopsida; Fabales; Fabaceae
Description: long non-coding RNA (TPRA_LNC007688)
Source: RNAcentral